RNAcentral lists this ribosomal RNA (263 nucleotides) under uncultured prokaryote. RNAcentral describes it as "partial 16S ribosomal RNA". It matches the Rfam family "Bacterial small subunit ribosomal RNA", at positions 524 to 784 of the family's 1533-position model. The record is from RNAcentral.
UACGGUAGGGGACGAGCGUUGUCCGGAAUUACUGGGGCGGUAAAGGGCGCGCAGGCUGUAGAUCAAGUCAGCUGUGAAAUGUCUGGGCUUAACCCGGGCAUGCGGUUGAAACUGAUGUACUGGAGUGCUGUAGAGGCAAGUGGAAUUCCCAGUGUAGCGGUGAAAUGCGUAGAUAUUGGGAAGAACACCGGUGGCGAAGGCGACUUGCUGGGCAGCAACUGACGCUGAGGCGCGAAAGCCAGGGGAGCAAACGGGAUUAGAUA